CCAAGGAGUCUAACAUGUGCGCAAGUCACGGGGUUUCUUGUACGAAACCUGAAUCAAGGCGUCAAUGAAAGUGAAGGCAGCCUCGGGUUUGCCUAGGUAGGAUCCUCUGUCUUUUUCGGAAGGCGGAGGCGCACUACCGGCCCGUCUCGUCCGCAUCGUCGGUGAGGCGGAGCAAGAGCGUACACGUUGGGACCCGAAAGAUGGUGAACUAUGCCUGAGUGGGACGAAGCCAGAGGAAACUCUGGUGGAGGUCCGCAGCGAUUCUGACGUGCAAAUCGAUCGUCAAACUUGGGUAUAGGGGCGAAAGACUAAUCGAACCAUCUA
Molecule: ribosomal RNA, 324 nt
Filed under: Lamarcka imbricata
Lineage: Eukaryota; Metazoa; Mollusca; Bivalvia; Arcoida; Arcidae
Description: partial 28S ribosomal RNA
Rfam family: Eukaryotic large subunit ribosomal RNA
Source: RNAcentral